RNAcentral lists this ribosomal RNA (303 nucleotides) under uncultured bacterium. RNAcentral's name for it is "partial 16S ribosomal RNA". It matches the Rfam family "Bacterial small subunit ribosomal RNA", at positions 507 to 809 of the family's 1533-position model. The record is from RNAcentral.
AGCAGUCGCCGCGGUAAUACGGAGGGUGCAAGCGUUAUCCGGAUUUAUUGGGUUUAAAGGGUCCGUAGGCGGAUCUGUAAGUCAGUGGUGAAAUCUCACAGCUUAACUGUGAAACUGCCAUUGAUACUGCAGGUCUUGAGUAAAUUUGAAGUGGCUGGAAUAAGUAGUGUAGCGGUGAAAUGCAUAGAUAUUACUUAGAACACCAAUUGCGAAGGCAGGUCACUAAGAUUUAACUGACGCUGAUGGACGAAAGCGUGGGGAGCGAACAGGAUUAGAUACCCGUGUAGUCCCUGUCUCUUAUAU